AGUGAACGCUGGCGGUAGGCCUAACACAUGCAAGUCGAACGGCAGCACAGUAAGAGCUUGCUCUUACGGGUGGCGAGUGGCGGACGGGUGAGGAAUACAUCGGAAUCUACUUUUUCGUGGGGGAUAACGUAGGGAAACUUACGCUAAUACCGCAUACGACCUACGGGUGAAAGCAGGGGAUCUUCGGACCUUGCGCGAUUGAAUGAGCCGAUGUCGGAUUAGCUAGUUGGCGGGGUAAAGGCCCACCAAGGCGACGAUCCGUAGCUGGUCUGAGAGGAUGAUCAGCCACACUGGAAGAGAGACGCGGUCCAGACCCCUACGAGGGAGAGCAGGGGGAAAUUUGGGACAAGGGGCGCGAGCCUGAUCCAGCCAUACCGCGGGUGAAGAAGGCCUUCGGGUUGUAAAGCCCUUUUGUUGGGAAAGAAAAGCAGCAGGUUAAUACCCCGCUGUUCUGACGGUACCCAAAGAAUAAACACCGGCUAACUUCGU
This 489-nucleotide ribosomal RNA is filed under the name uncultured bacterium. RNAcentral describes it as "partial 16S ribosomal RNA". It matches the Rfam family "Bacterial small subunit ribosomal RNA", at positions 29 to 506 of the family's 1533-position model. The record is from RNAcentral.